Molecule: ribosomal RNA, 445 nt
Filed under: uncultured bacterium
Lineage: Bacteria
Description: bacterial SSU rRNA
Rfam family: Bacterial small subunit ribosomal RNA
Source: RNAcentral
GUGAGGAAUAUUGGUCAAUGGGCGCAAGCCUGAACCAGCCAUCCCGCGUGAAGGAUGAAUGUACUAUGUAUUGUAAACUUCUUUUCUGCAAAGAGAAAGGGCACUACGUGUAGUGUUUUGACGGUAUUGCAGGAAUAAGCAUCGGCUAACUCCGUGCCAGCAGCCGCGGUAAUACGGAGGAUGCGAGCGUUAUCCGGAUUCAUUGGGUUUAAAGGGUGCGUAGGCGGUUUUUUAAGUCAGUGGUGAAAUCCUGCGGCUCAACCGUAGAACUGCCAUUGAAACUGAAGAACUUGAAUAUAGUUGAGGUAGGCGGAAUGUGCAGUGUAGCGGUGAAAUGCUUAGAUAUUGCACAGAACACCGAUUGCGAAGGCAGCUUACCAAGCUAUUAUUGACGCUGAGGCACGAAAGCGUGGGGAUCGAACAGGAUUAGAUACCCGUGUAGUCC